RNAcentral lists this ribosomal RNA (301 nucleotides) under uncultured bacterium. Its description in RNAcentral is "partial 16S ribosomal RNA". It matches the Rfam family "Bacterial small subunit ribosomal RNA", at positions 509 to 807 of the family's 1533-position model. The record is from RNAcentral.
CAGUCGCCACGGUAACACGUAGGGCGCAAGCGUUGUCCGGAAUUAUUGGGCGUAAAGAGCUCGUAGGCGGCUUGUCACGUCUGCUGUGAAAUCCCGGGGCUCAACCCCGGGCGUGCAGUGGAUACGGGCUGGCUAGAGGCAGGCAGGGGAGAACGGAAUUCCCGGUGUAGCGGUGAAAUGCGCAGAUAUCGGGAGGAACACCGGUGGCGAAGGCGGUUCUCUGGGCCUGUUCUGACGCUGAGGAGCGAAAGCGUGGGGAGCGAACAGGAUUAGAUACCCCGGUAGUCCCUGUCUCUUAUAC